This 28-nucleotide small RNA is filed under the name Bombyx mori (domestic silkworm). RNAcentral describes it as "ovarian small RNA-32644". Lineage: Eukaryota; Metazoa; Arthropoda; Insecta; Lepidoptera; Bombycidae. The record is from RNAcentral.
UGAUCCUUUGCAGGUCCAGGUAGAGGGC